GAGGCUAGGUCUAAGGUCACGUGGGACGGUAGAUCUAGAUUGGAUCGCUUCGGCUGGAACGAGCGACCCUCGAAACCUGGCAGGCCGGCCGGUAUCUAGUACCGCCCGUGCCACCACUCGUACCGCGCUAGGUACGACCCGCGACAGUAGUCGCACCGGCGGAGGCGGCGGCGGUGGCUCUACUCGGAAGAGUACCCGCAGGCGCUGCUGUAAGCCAAAUACUUUUUGCUCGAUCUCUGCUACGUCCGUAAAGACCACUGGCGACUUCGUCGGUUCCUUUUAUUGUCCGUUGACGUCCACACCCGCUUCGUUCAUUCCCUAGAUCGGAUACAGUAACUCCUAACGGAACUACUCAAAUACCACGUACACCCUUCGGCCUCGGCCAGAGCUGCCGACAAAUUCGACUUUCUGGCAGCAGCGUAACGUUUUGUCUAGGCACCAGAGUUUCGUUCUCAACUCCUUCACUCGUUGUCCUUGUGGGCGAUAUUGAAAUAGUUGUGCCUACGGAGGUCGUCAUAACUGCUCCGCUUAAGGAUGUACCUUCUAUAGGCGUCGGUGAGUCGAUCGUUGUAACUGCUCCGUGUCGAACACCCGAAACGAUUCUGGUUUUUCCUCAACUAAUUAUACCAACUACAAUUGAGAUCUAUACCAGAAAGUUUCCACUAUUCACAGCAACCGUACCCACCAAAUCCGUUCUGAUGAGAACGGUCCUUUCAUAUACUUUCAUUCCUUUUGUAACAUUUAUUUAAACGAACCACACGAACCCAGUGGUAUAGUGUCAGUAAAAGGUUCUACCUCUACGAGUUCCCGUACUAAUACGUUGAAAACCCAGGGCUCAGUGACUCCUUUACGAACUUUCUAGAACUUCCCUUCCGUCACGUUCAUCUUCUGGAGAGGUCCAUGGAGUCUCUUUUAAACCUCCUGUUCUCCAUGAAGUAACAAGAGCUACUGGAUACCUGGUAUCUAAGAACCUUAACCUAGUUUCUAUAACGAAAAGGAUAAUCUUUGUUGUUUCCAUCGGCUUAUUAUUAUUGUUGAGCUCUACAACCGAACCGACUCGUCACGUGAAGACUUAGCGAAUAGAUGGUCGAAUUUGUAGACGUUUAUUUCCUACGGUGUGUAAACGAUGAUUCUUUCUCAUCCUUUUGUGUACUUAUGUACUUUUUACUAUUCCUUCACUUCUACCACCAGUUGUUUUACCAUUUCUUCACACCACCAGACGGCAACCGAUAUGAGUGAUAACCUCCGUACGAACGGUCGUUUUUCCACUGUCUCACCCUUUCAUAGAUACUUGUUUAGGGUAGUCUCGAGCUCUCGUUGGGAUCGGAACUUCGUGACUCCUUCUAUCAAUGAGACUCGAUGUUGUUGAACGGCAGAGUAGAGUUCAGUACGAAAGAUAUAGAUUCGUAGAAAGGACUCCUAAAACUUUAGUUUUCCUCCGCAGAUCAUCUGUCUACCUAUCGGCUCCCCAAACAAUGUCGGUCUCCACCUCAUUUGUAGCUCCUACAACCUUAUUCAAUAAAGUGGCUCGAUUAGUUGGCUUCGUACUAAGUUGGGAGCUUUCACUUGUACCUUCCUUUAUAAUUCUCGACAGCUCAGGUACUAUAGUACGCACUACACUACUAGAGUUAUAGAUCCCUACUUUAAAAACACGUGAACCAUCCUCUAUUACGAUGACGACAUCGUCUGACAUUGAUGGUGGUACAUCGUAAGGUACCAUCGUUCGCGGUUUUCUAGCCGUACCUAACAUAGGUACAAGCAAGUAAUUGGCACAAACCACUUUCUAGGUACCUCGGUAGUCGAAGUGAAAAAAGUAGAUUCAACUCUUACGAAUCUCGGGAACUGGAUCUUCUACCCCUAAAACAACAGUCUGUCCUUCUGUAGUUGUUGUAUCCCAGUGACGCGGUGAACUUUAUAGACUGACAAUCCGGAAAACCACUCACAAGUUUAAACGUAUUUGACGGUCCUAGAUAACCGUUCAAUGUUCCGAACGUCUCAAACCUGAACCCUAUGUCGACAUAAUUUUGUGAUGGUUGACUCUAACCAUUUGAACUUCCAGAAGCAUGCGAGGCCACGUCUUUUUUACUUAUAAAAUUUAUAAUACUAAUAAAGUUUAUAAACUCACUCUUGUACCUCUUUAUGUUCACGUACCCACCAUAUAACACAUAUGGGUACCAUACGAGAUCACCCAAAGGUUCACCACGCGCACUUCUUUUUCUCCCACGACAUCGCAACGCAGUUCCUUAGUCAUUGAAUUUUCUCAAUGUCUAUGAUCUCAUGCACCUGUAGCUUUCUUGUUCAUCGUCUCGUUAGCUUCUCGAACCCCUCGAAUGUGUUGAUUUCUUUAACUCUCACUGAUGCCUUCCCCGUUGGCUCCUUUUUACGUUCGAUAAGACCCUCCGGUAACCCUUCGAGGGAACAGAAAUGAGAGAAGUACACCUACCAUUGUUAUAGCUCACCGACCCAAGACGAAGGAAACGAGGGGGGGAGUACUCCUGGGACUCUAACUUUCCUUUAUAACAUCUCCACGGGUUGACCCAACCAUCAGACUCCGUAAACCACUUCUAAUAUAAGACACCCAGGCAUCUUUUUCUUCCUCUUUUUUGGUACCUCUACGAUCCCCGUGACGGGUUGGAGUACGAGCAACUAGAGAGCAAAAUAAUACCACAAGCUCUCCUCGAUCACAAACACAGCCUUCGUAAAGGUUCAGAGUCCUAUGAAGCAUACGUGAAGGCCGUACUAUACUCUUACCACUCUAUGCUCCUCCCGUGGUACGGGGUGUAACGUCUCGAUAUAAAUGUAAAGUGGAAGGUUUUGAGACAUGCCUAAUGACCGUAGUUUGUGGAAGGUUUCUAGUUCCUCUAAAGUUAAGCUUAGGGGUCCCACGACUUAUUAAAACUCGACGUGGUCCUUCACUUUAGUGUGGGUUUGGUAGGACACUACGCUCACAGUAAGGCUCUGGCCCCAUGAUGGUGGCAUCCUCCUAGUUUACAACAUCUCCACCUUCUUCGUUACCCCCUUAGUAGUCGACAUGAAAGGCUCGUGCCUCGUCGUGCUCUCUCGAUGAAUCUACACGUCUGUCCCUCGCUGUCACUUCUACUAGACGCCACUGGUGCUCAAAGACCAACUACGGAAGGCUCAAGACUAAGAUAUAUCCCGCCUUUAACAGAGUUCUAGGUUACGCGAUGUAAUAUAUGACAUGAUGUCUUCUACGAUGACGCUUCGACUUAAAGUAACAAUUCGUUGUCGUACCACGACGGUUUGGAAGGUUCAAAACGACGAUGCCUGGAGGCUACACGACACUUCGACUCGAAUCUGGAAUCUACGUCAAACUUACAAAAAAUACGCCGCUUACCGUGUCCUCAAGGUACAUAGAACACCCGUACUCACUACCCUGCUUCUGCUACCUCGUUCGAAGGUCUAGAGUCUAGCUCGAUGUCAACCGUAGACGACCGGACUACUAUUAGAUAAGAAACCUGAAACCUCACCUACUAGUUAGACUACUCUAUUGAACGUUAACACUUGUUUUCUCAUGAAACGAAAGAAAACGGUUAUGUUAGAGAUACAAAGGGAAAACAGGAAAAAACCUCUACUAGUGAGAGACAAAGAACGACGGUAUUAUAAACAUGAAGUACGAGAAACGGUCCGAAGGAAACUAAGAAGUGGAGCUUUACGUCGUAGUGUUUAAGUGGAACGGCGGACGAAGCUGGUGGUUCAGCCGUGUUGAGUUGAAAGGAUACAAUACUGACCAUGUAUUCACGUUUACUAAAGCCACCGGAGUUACAUUGCCUCCGCUGCUAGCUAAGAAGCUUUUAUGGUACCUUACCUAAUAGUUGGUUGGACUACGGUUCCGCACGUUAACAACGAUGUCUGAAGGAAACAAACGGUUAUUGUAAUAGUAGUAAACCGGCGGUUUUCAGUUGUAAUAAACGAACCGAGGGAAAGUAGACCUUGGUUAGUCGUUGCUCCAGCUACGACCCCGGCGGUAGUCGCAACGGCGGAGACGACGACGGUUGCUCUACUCGAACGAGUACCCGCAGUGCUCCCUAUAGACCAUAAACAAAAUUGAAAAUUGUCUGUCGGUUACGUAAACCUUCAUGUACACUCUUUGUGAACUUAAACUGUUCUAUCUAUACUUGUUGACGUGAGGAUGAUAUACCAACUAACUACUGAUGACUUUCGAACGGCCAUCUUGGUUCGCAGACAAGUCGACGGACAGGUUCAGGUCCCUGUGUGCUGCAGUAAGUGCCUCGCAGUACGGUACGCACUAUCCACCUAGCACAGACGAGGUGUAGAGGAAAACGUACCGGUCCUUGCCCACGCGAACAAAGGUUUAACGUCAGCUACCCACUAGCGACGUAGGGUUGUUGGUCUAAUUACCAUGUGGUCGGUCGACCCUGUGUUGUUAAUAAACUAGUCCUGGGAUGUCCUGGACAUACAGUGGAGUUCAUGUCUAGUGAUCACCUCACGCAAGCGUGUUCACUAAAGUAGUACGGGAAGGAGAAGCCGGACAUUCUAUGUCAUAGAAUACAAAUGUUAAACUUUAUUUCUUGUCAGUGAAA
RNAcentral lists this ribosomal RNA (4562 nucleotides) under Triticum aestivum (bread wheat). RNAcentral's name for it is "partial small subunit ribosomal RNA". Lineage: Eukaryota; Viridiplantae; Streptophyta; Magnoliopsida; Poales; Poaceae. The record is from RNAcentral.